ACGAAGGGGGCUAGCGUUGUUCGGAAUUACUGGGCGUAAAGCGUGCGUAGGCGGUCUAACAAGUCAGGGGUGAAAGCCCAGAGCUCAACUCUGGAACUGCAUUUGAAACUGUUAGGCUUGAGUGGGGGAGAGGUGAGUGGAAUUCCCAGUGUAGAGGUGAAAUUCGUAGAUAUUAGGAAGAACACCGGUGGCGAAGGCGGCUCGCUGGCCCGUUUCUGACGCUGAGGCGCGAUAGCGUGGGGAGCAAACAG
Molecule: ribosomal RNA, 251 nt
Filed under: uncultured prokaryote
Description: partial 16S rRNA
Rfam family: Bacterial small subunit ribosomal RNA
Source: RNAcentral